UUCCUCUCAUCAUUUUUCCUGACGCGCCAAAAGAAGUAUAACUUCAAAAUGUAAUUACAACUACUGCUUCAAAUCUUGCGGUGACAUACCGCGUUUUAUAGAUAAUCUAAAUACUAUUAAAAACCUGUAAAUGAAAACGUGAUUCACGUUCACAAUCUUUGACGCAUUAAAUUUAAUGAAAUAUAAAGACAUGUUUAUGUUAAAUGAUGCAGGUAUAUAGGCGAACACUUUAAGUUUUAUUUCUAUUUAAAAAUGAAGUUUCCACGAUUUUUACUUUGCGUUAUCGCUUUCAUUUUAAAUAUUUUUAUAGCAUCUGCUGGGAUUCCUAACCCAUUGGAAUUAAUUAAUGACGCAAAAGAUGGAUUGGAAGGUGGCGCAGAGGUGGCUGGAUCAGCAAUAGAUGCAUGCGGAAGUAUUGUGCCUUGAUUAAAGAUUAUUUUAUUAAUUACUUACUGGCCAAAUAAAUCCUGAUACCAUUA
Long non-coding RNA from Pieris napi, 479 nucleotides. RefSeq lists it as uncharacterized. The record is from RefSeq and is a predicted model, not a curated record. NCBI's taxonomy places the organism in Eukaryota, Metazoa, Arthropoda, Insecta, Lepidoptera, Pieridae. The transcript has 2 exons.